GGCGAGCACACCUAGGCCAGACACUUAGCUCCUGCUCCCUCGGGUGGAACAGCCGGAUCUCUUGACUGCCUCACAGUGGUGUUUGUAACACAGCUGCUUCACCUUAGGCUUAGGAGAUAGCCACAGCCAGCUGGCUGCCCACUGGGCCUGGGUUUGGAGAAGAUGCUCGCUCAAGUGCCCAUGUCUGGAGGAUCUAGAACUUUGCAACACUCUUCUGGAGACGGCCCCGUCCUUUCUGACCCCCCACAUCUGGGAACUUGGUCUGUCAAGAUGGAACAUGCUCAAGAGGACGUGCGUGAAAGACACCACAGCACAGUCCGAGGUAACAACGCUACCAGCAAUUGGAGGCUCAUCUUGUAAGACAUUGAGAAGAAGAUGGCGGAGACUGUGGGAGGCGGGGCCUGACUGGAGGAAGGCGGGGCCUGACUGGAGGAAGUGACCUCUUCCUCUGUCCCCAUGUCUCUCUGCUUCCUGAUCGCCACGAGGCCAGUGAGUUUCGUUUUCUCGUACCCUCCCUUCACAGUGAGAAAAUGCCACCUAUCUCAAACACAGAAGAAUUAACUGCGUACUUGUUAACAGUUUUGUAUUCUCGGGCACACAUUUGGCUAUCCAGAGACGUUCUGAAGAGAAAGCAUUGCAGUGCUGGGAAUUAUACGCAUAACUUCCACGCACAGUUGGUUUUGUGUGUGUUUCUACCCGAUGCCUCUAUCUUGGCUGUGAAUUUGAUCAGUAGGGCAAACACCCCUAAGCAGUGGUAAUCGCUUGUGGACUGGCCCAGUAGACAGACAGUUCUCAGUCAGCACGGAGCACAGGGAAGAUCAAAGAUAAGGAAGGUUUCAGAACAGGGGUUUAAUCUUGGGAAUAGCUCUCCUCUCCGGAAGACUUCGUGCUCAUCUCUAACCCAAAGAUUUGAACAGGUACCCUGACCAACGAAUAUUCAAAUAGAGAGAGGACCGAGUCCAGGGCGGGGUGUCUUGAAAGAUAUUUACAGCGUGUCUCUGGGUUCUAAAAACGAACUUUUUCUUUUUUCCAGCAGAAAUGUUGUCAUCCUAGUUCUUGCAACUACUCAAUUGCUGGGACACUGUGGUUAUAUUAUAAACUGGUAAAAGUAAAAUGCUAAGGAGUAAGAUCAAACGGAGUAUUUUGUUUGUUUUUCUUUUUCAAAUGCCUGCAUUUUGAGCUAACUCUGGUUUCCUACAAUCUUGUGCUAGGGAAGGUCAGCCAAGAAUACUCGUAAUCUGCUCAUUAUGAGACUGAAAUCUGUCUCGUGUUAAAUAAAGCAUGUCUGCAUA
Molecule: long non-coding RNA, 1292 nt
Organism: Mesocricetus auratus (golden hamster)
Lineage: Eukaryota; Metazoa; Chordata; Mammalia; Rodentia; Cricetidae
Exons: 4
Source: RefSeq, a predicted model, not a curated record